AGAACUUAUUUUCCUCCUCAACUCUUGAAACUUAGAUAAUUUGUUUUCUUUCUUUCUUCUUUCUUUUCUUGAUUGCUGUUAUUAUGGAAAAUGGUAGGGGAGAAUUUUUCUUUUCGACUCACACUUGAAGAAAACAUGUCCCACACAAUCCCUCCGUCUCCAUCAUGUCUCGUAAAAUCUAUCUUCACACUAAAUGUGCUAAGAAUCUCAUCUGUCUCUUUGGGACAAAUGCCCACCUCCAAAAAGAGCCUUUUGUUUUCCGUGCUAAGUAUGGACAUUGAGGCAAUUAUCUCACCCAAAGGUUUUUGAGAUAAUGGGCGAUUUCCUGUUUUGUUGACACUUGCUGUUAAUACUGUACUCUCCCAUCACCUUAACUGCAAUAUGUGGUUAUCAUGGAGCUUCUGCAGAGUAGUCUUAUGCUCAUGAAGCAAUAGCCAAUGAUAAAAACAAUCACAGAAGAAGAGGAAUUUCCAUCAUUUAAUUAGGCAAAGGACACAUAAGUAAAUAUCCUGGGCACUGUGUCAGAAAUUCAGACUUGCGGAUUAGGACCAGGCUGGCAAACAUUCUGUGAGCCUUGGGGGCAGACAAGGAAAUGGAAGAGCUAGGUUGCCCUGAUAAUUAUUAGUGGAGGGACUGUUAAUCCUUGCUCAGGUUACAUCUCCUUCUGUGGGACUUAGCUCAUAAUAUUGUUAUUUGUUUACUGCUGACCCGAGAGCCUUCAUGACAAGUACCAUGUGACUUUCAUUCUUGUAUCCUUGGUACCCAGUACAGCACAUCUAGCCCUCAAUCAAUGCUUCCUGGGUGAAAAAAUACUUCUGUGUCUACAUUCACAGACUGGGAGUGAGUCCAUGUGUUUUCAGUGUUCCUUUAGCCGUGUCUAACACAGAUGCUAGCUGAGGUGUCCUUCUCUUUAAAAAAUUUAGAUGAGAUUUGUCUUUAAAACCUUCCCAAGAUUUCUGUGAACCCCAGGAGAGCUUCCUUUCUCAUGGUUUCCUCUGGCUACACAUUGUGCUUCCACUGAAUUAGUUCAAUUCAUGAACGAGCUCAUCAUCCCACACAGUCUUUUGCAGUAUCUUGACUCAAAUGUGGAACUGAGUCCCUUGAGUUUCACCAAAACCUCACCCACAUUGGGCCUUUCAUCUUUAGAACUUUACAGAAGUUUUAAGAGAUGUGGGUGAGGGACAGUCUACAGAGCAACAGCAUAAGCUUGAUAGUACUGAAUAUCAGACACUCCAGUUUUUACAAGACAUUCUACCAUGCUCCAUAUUCCUUGGCCAUCCUUGUUUAUCUUCGCUUCUCUUCUCUGUCCACUCCCACCUCUGAGUUUCUAAUAACUUAAAAAUUACACAUGUCCCAUCUGUAUUCCUGAAAUGACACAUUCUCACCUUUCUCCUUCAGGUCCAGUUUCUUAGGUAGGGCCCCUGAGAAGGCUUCCAUGCACUAAGAGAGAGGAGUCAAAAGGAAAGCCAAGUCAGAUGCCAGGGAGCAUUCCCGGGAAGGGUUCUGGCAUGGCCACCUCCCAUGGCCAAGCCCUUGGAGUUGGAAACCACAAGAGAAGCCCCACCAAAGUUUUGAGAUCUGAGCAAAUGGGGCUUUGCGGGGAGGAAGCAAGAUCCCUGAGCUCCCCAUCAUGGCUCAAGUGUGGAGGCAGCAUGGCAUGGGUGUCUGCACGUGGACCAAGGCCCCUUCAAGGGUUCCUAUGAGCAAGACAUGCAGUGGAGAGCAGAAGGAUGGUCUCAUGCCAGCCAGAGCAGCAUGAAGUAGCAAAGCCUCCAGAAAUCCCUGCUAAGUCUUCUGAGGCCACAGAGGAAUAAAGGAGAAAAUGGAGCAUUUCCAGUGUUGCAAGAGGAAUGCCAAAGGAUCAGUGGAUCAACUCAGGAGAACCUCCACUAUGAUAGAAAUGGCGAGAGCAGACAUCCUUGUCUUGUUCCUGAUCUUAAGGGGAAAGCAUUCAGUCUUUCACCAUCAAGUAUGAUGUGGUGAACAUUCUUGAACAAGUUUUUUAAGAACUGAGGUCUUCAUUUGUAUUGAGUAAAUACCUCGGACUAGAACUCCUGGAUCACAGGAUGCGAGGAAACUGAGGCUAAGAGAGGAAAGUAAUGUGGUCAGACUCACAAGGAAACACAGAGGUAGGAUUUGCAGACCCUGCCAUAUGGUGCAGAGGUUUUCUAAGGAAACACUGCUUAGGAACCCGGCCCACCCCCACUCCUUAUCCAUUCUAACCUCCAAGCGUUGUUGUGACAACACGUAGCGACUCCUUUCCCCAUCCCAAGUGGUGAUUUUAACAGUGAACCCUUUAAUUCUUCCUCUCGGGGACAUCCAUCUCAUCUAUGACAUGUAGCAAAGAUGAUUAAUCGAGACAAUUGGAAUAUUAGUGGCUCAGAUUCUCAUCCCCAUCGGGAGACCAAACACACACAUACCAAGGAGAAACCAUACACAGGUUUAUUUUAUUGUAUUUCUACAAAGGCAACAUCAACUUACCCUGUUAAAAUCACUUCUGAAAAUAAAUUUUCUGGAAAUGCAUUCUUUAUAAAUGUAAAGCGUGCAAUAAUGUGUAAAUUUACAGAAACAUUUUAAACUGGUUAAGUCAGGUAAUAGUCUGUAAAAUAGGUUUUGUUUCUGGAGAUAGUACAGGUAUCCCUAGACUUUCUUAAAGUCUUUACUUAAUUCUGAUUAAGGCUGUACGAACAGAGAUUUAUCUUAAUGGUGUAAAAUGAUUAAUUACAUAAUUAAAAUGACCUGUAAGAACUUUUGAGUCAUCCAAAAGUUAAAAAGCAGGGCCAGUAUUUUAAAAGAGAGGAUGACAUCUUGGAAAGUCAUUUUUAUGCCACACCAGCGAUAACUUUUAGUGGAUUAUUCUUGCCUCACUUGACGGCAGGCACUUCAAAAUGAUUAAGGAAAAAUUGUCAUACUUGAUUAGUCCUCAUCAUUUUUGGUUUUGAAGGAAAUGUUUGUAAAUGAGUAAAAGACCCCAAAUAAAUGUG
Long non-coding RNA from Globicephala melas (long-finned pilot whale), 2984 nucleotides. RefSeq lists it as uncharacterized. The record is from RefSeq and is a predicted model, not a curated record. Lineage: Eukaryota; Metazoa; Chordata; Mammalia; Artiodactyla; Delphinidae.